RNAcentral lists this ribosomal RNA (253 nucleotides) under uncultured bacterium. RNAcentral's name for it is "partial 16S ribosomal RNA". It matches the Rfam family "Bacterial small subunit ribosomal RNA", at positions 524 to 776 of the family's 1533-position model. The record is from RNAcentral.
UACGAAGGGGGCUAGCGUUGCUCGGAAUUACUGGGCGUAAAGCGCACGUAGGCGGCUUUCUAAGUCGGGGGUGAAAUCCUGGAGCUCAACUCCAGAACUGCCUUCGAUACUGGAAAGCUCGAGUCCGGGAGAGGUGAGUGGAAUUCCCAGUGUAGCGGUGAAAUGCGUAGAUAUUGGGAGGAACACCAGUGGCGAAGGCGGCUCACUGGACCGGUUCUGACGCUGAGGCGCGAAAGCGUGGGUAGCAAACAGG